This 45-nucleotide non-coding RNA is filed under the name Schistosoma mattheei. Lineage: Eukaryota; Metazoa; Platyhelminthes; Trematoda; Strigeidida; Schistosomatidae. The record is from RNAcentral.
AUCAUGCUGAUGAGUCUAAAAUAGGACGAAAUGUGCAUCCUGGAU